This 212-nucleotide unclassified non-coding RNA is filed under the name Hevea brasiliensis (rubber tree). The record is from RNAcentral. Lineage: Eukaryota; Viridiplantae; Streptophyta; Magnoliopsida; Malpighiales; Euphorbiaceae.
GGGCUAUCCAAAGGAAACUCAAAUUUAUGUUGCAUCCGGUCAGGUGUAUGGUGGACAGAAUAGGAUGGCACCACUAAGGAACAUGUUCCCGAAUCUGGUGACGAAGGAAGAGUUAGCUACCAAGGAGGAAUUGGAUAGCUUCAGGAAACAUGUUACGAGUUUAGCAGCAUUGGACUUCUUAGUGUGCUUGAAGUCAGACGUGUUUGUGAUGA